CGGGGUAUAGCUCAGGAGUAGAGCGCGCGGUUCGGGACCGCGAGGCCGUCGGUGCGAAACCGACUACCCCGACAA
This 75-nucleotide transfer RNA is filed under the name Candidatus Amesiibacteriota bacterium. RNAcentral's name for it is "Candidatus Amesbacteria bacterium (sediment metagenome) tRNA-Pro". It matches the Rfam family "tRNA". From Rfam's summary of the family: Transfer RNA (tRNA) molecules are approximately 80 nucleotides in length. The record is from RNAcentral. Lineage: Bacteria; Candidatus Amesiibacteriota.